Molecule: ribosomal RNA, 1392 nt
Filed under: mouse gut metagenome
Description: bacterial LSU rRNA
Rfam family: Bacterial large subunit ribosomal RNA
Source: RNAcentral
UGGCUUAGAAGCAGCCACCAUUUAAAGAGUGCGUAAUAGCUCACUAGUCGAGUGACGCUGCGCCGAAAAUGUACCGGGGCUAAGCAUAGUACCGAAACUGUGGAUGCAUAUAUUAUAUGCGUGGUAGGAGAGCGUUCUAAGUGCGGCGAAGUUAGAUCGAGAGGACUAAUGGAGCGCUUAGAAGUGAGAAUGCCGGUAUGAGUAGCGAAAGAUAGGUGAGAAUCCUAUCCGCCGAAAGACUAAGGUUUCCUGGGGCAGGCUCGUCCGCCCAGGGUAAGUCGGGACCUAAGGUAAGGCCGAGAGGCGUAGCCGAUGGACAACAGGUAGAAAUUCCUGUACUGAAAUUGUUCGAUAUGAGCAAAGGAGGGACGCAGGAGGCUAAUGACGCAUGUUGCUGGAAAUACAUGUGCAAGCAGUAAGAAAAAAGAUGAGUCAAAUGCUUGUCUUUAGAUUUCAAGCUGUGAUGCGGAGCGAAAUAAAAGUAGCGAAGGUCAUGAUGUCACACUGCCAAGAAAAGCUUCUAGCCAGAACAAUUUUACCCGUACCGCAAACCGACACAGGUAGUCGAGUGGAGAACACUCAGGUGAGCGAGAGAACUCUCGUUAAGGAACUCGGCAAAAUGACCCCGUAACUUCGGGAGAAGGGGUGCUGAUAGUAAAAUAUCAGCCGCAGUGAAUAGGCCCAAACAACUGUUUAUCAAAAACACAGGUAUCUGCAAAAUCGUAAGAUGACGUAUAGGUGCUGACACCUGCCCGGUGCUGGAAGGUUAAGAGGAGAGCUUAGCGCAAGCGAAGGUUUGAAUUGAAGCCCCAGUAAACGGCGGCCGUAACUAUAACGGUCCUAAGGUAGCGAAAUUCCUUGUCGGGUAAGUUCCGACCUGCACGAAAGGUGUAAUGAUUUGGGCACUGUCUCAACGAGAGACUCGGUGAAAUUAUAAUACCCGUGAAGAUGCGGGUUACCCGCGACAGGACGGAAAGACCCCAUGGAGCUUUACUGUAGCUUGAUAUUGAGUAUUUGUUAAACAUGUACAGGAUAGGUAGGAGCCAGAGAAAGUAGGACGCUAGUCUUACCGGAGGCAAUGUUGGGAUACUACCCUUGUUUGAUGGAUCCUCUAACUCACAGAGCUGAGCGUUCUGGAGGACAGUGUCAGGUGGGCAGUUUGACUGGGGCGGUCGCCUCCUAAAGUGUAACGGAGGCGCCCAAAGGUUCCCUCAGAAUGGUUGGAAAUCAUUCGCAGAGUGUAAAGGUAUAAGGGAGCUUGACUGCGAGAGCUACAACUCGAGCAGGGACGAAAGUCGGGCUUAGUGAUCUGGUGGUACUGCAUGGAAAGGCCAUCACUCAACGGAUAAAAGCUACCCUGGGGAUAACAGGCUUAUCUCCCCCAAGAGUUCA